Acanthosepion pharaonis is the source of this 90-nucleotide non-coding RNA. NCBI's taxonomy places the organism in Eukaryota, Metazoa, Mollusca, Cephalopoda, Sepiida, Sepiidae. The record is from the annotation of a GenBank genome assembly.
GCUGAAACAGCUGUUUCCGUACAAUCACUGAAGUUAAACAACUUCGAGCCUGGCCAGUAUCUUGAUGGGUGACCACUUGGGAAUACCAGG